CCGCUAGGGGAACCCGCUAUGGGUUGAGAGUGACCUUUGUCAGACCCUCACUACUUGAUCCGGUUAAUACCGGCGUAAGGAAGC
Molecule: non-coding RNA, 84 nt
Filed under: pig gut metagenome
Description: TPP riboswitch (THI element)
Rfam family: TPP riboswitch aptamer (THI element)
About the family: Vitamin B(1) in its active form thiamin pyrophosphate (TPP) is an essential coenzyme that is synthesised by coupling of pyrimidine and thiazole moieties in bacteria. The previously detected thiamin-regulatory element, thi box was extended, resulting in a new, highly conserved RNA secondary structure, the THI element, which is widely distributed in eubacteria and also occurs in some archaea.
Source: RNAcentral